RNAcentral lists this ribosomal RNA (492 nucleotides) under uncultured bacterium. RNAcentral's name for it is "partial 16S ribosomal RNA". It matches the Rfam family "Bacterial small subunit ribosomal RNA", at positions 30 to 507 of the family's 1533-position model. The record is from RNAcentral.
AUUGAACGCUGGCGGCAUGCUUUACACAUGCAAGUCGAACGGUAACAGGCCUUCGGGUGCUGACGAGUGGCGAACGGGUGAGUAAUGCAUCGGAACGUACCCAGAGGUGGGGGAUAACGCAGCGAAAGCUGUGCUAAUACUGCAUGUGAUCUGAGGAUGAAAGCGGGGGACCGAGCAGCAAUGUUUGGCCUCGCGCCUUUGUAGCGGCCGAUGUCGGAUUAGCUAGUUGGUGGGGUAAAGGCCUACCAAGGCGACGAUCCGUAGCUGGUCUGAGAGGACGACCAGCCACACUGGAACUGAGACACGGCCCAGACUCCUACGGGAGGCAGCAGUGGGGAAUUUUGGACAAUGGGCGCAAGCCUGAUCCAGCAAUGCCGCGUGCGGGAAGAAGGCCUUCGGAUUGUAAACCGCUUUUAGCAGGAAAGAAAAGGUGUACGAUAAUACCGGGCGGUAAUGACGGUACCUACAGAAUAAGCACCGGCUAACUACGUG